GGGGGGGAAUGGCAUGCUUACACAUGCAGUCGUACGAGAAGUUUUACUUCAAGUGGCGGACGGGUGAGUAACACGUAACCAUUUACCUUUAGGAGGGGGACAACAACUGGAAACGGUUGCUGCCAUCCCAUAUGCUUUCGAGUGAAAUGGAUUUUUCCGCCUAGAGAGAAGCUUGCGGCUGAUUAGCUUGUUGGUGAGGUAAUGGCUCACCAAGGCGACGAUCAGUAUCUGGUUUGAGAGGAUGAUCAGACACACUGGAACUGAGACACGGUCCAGACUCCUACGGGAGGCAGCAGUGGGGAAUUUUCCGCAAUGGGCGAAAGCCUGACGGAGCAAUCUCGCGUGAAGGAUGACGGCCUAUGGGUUGUAAACUUCUUUUUUCAGGGAGGAACAAAAUGACGUGUACCUGAAGAAUAAGCAUCGGCUAACUCCGUGCCAGCAGCCGCGGUAAGACGGAGGAUGCAAGUGUUAUCCGGAAUCACUGGGCGUAAAGCGUCUGUAGGUGGUUUAGUAAGUCAACUGUUAAAUCUUGAAGCUUAACUUCAAAAUCGCAGUCGAAACUAUUAGACUUGUGUAUAGUAGGGGUAAAGGGAAUUUCCAGUGGAGCGGUGAAAUGCGUAGAGAUUGGAAAGAACACCGAUGGCGAAGGCACUUUACUGGGCUAUUACUGACACUCAGAGACGAAAGCUAGGGUAGCAAAUGGGAUUAGAUACCCCAGUAGUCCUAGCCGUAAACAAUGGAUACUAGAUGUUGAACAGAUCGACCUGUGCAGUAUUAAAGCUAACGCGUUAAGUAUCCCGCCUGGGAAGUAUGCUCGCCAGAGUGAAACUCCAA
This 834-nucleotide ribosomal RNA is filed under the name uncultured phototrophic eukaryote. RNAcentral's name for it is "bacterial SSU rRNA". It matches the Rfam family "Bacterial small subunit ribosomal RNA", at positions 25 to 905 of the family's 1533-position model. The record is from RNAcentral.